AGAACGAACGCUGGCGGCAUGCCUAACACAUGCAAGUCGAACGAGACCUUCGGGUCUAGUGGCGCACGGGUGCGUAACGCGUGGGAAUCUGCCCUUGGGUUCGGAAUAACAGUUGGAAACGACUGCUAAUACCGGAUGAUGACGUAAGUCCAAAGAUUUAUCGCCCAGGGAUGAGCCCGCGUAGGAUUAGCUAGUUGGUGAGGUAAAGGCUCACCAAGGCGACGAUCCUUAGCUGGUCUGAGAGGAUGAUCAGCCACACUGGGACUGAGACACGGCCCAGACUCCUACGGGGAGGCAGCAGGUGGGGAAUAUUGGACAA
RNAcentral lists this ribosomal RNA (319 nucleotides) under uncultured soil bacterium. RNAcentral describes it as "bacterial SSU rRNA". It matches the Rfam family "Bacterial small subunit ribosomal RNA", at positions 26 to 371 of the family's 1533-position model. The record is from RNAcentral.